This 443-nucleotide ribosomal RNA is filed under the name uncultured bacterium. RNAcentral's name for it is "partial 16S ribosomal RNA". It matches the Rfam family "Bacterial small subunit ribosomal RNA", at positions 338 to 795 of the family's 1533-position model. The record is from RNAcentral.
CCUACGGGUGGCUGCAGUGGGGAAUAUUGGACAAUGGGGGGAACCCUGAUCCAGCGACGCCGCGUGAGUGAAGAAGUAUUUCGGUAUGUAAAGCUCUAUCAGCAGGGAAGAAAGAAAUGACGGUACCUGACUAAGAAGCCCCGGCUAACUACGUGCCAACAGCCGCGGUAAUACGUAGGGGGCAAGCGUUAUCCGGAUUUACUGGGUGUAAAGGGAGCGUAGACGGUUACGCAAGUCUGGAGUGAAAGGCGGGGGCCCAACCCCCGGACUGCUUUGGAAACUGUAUAACUGGAGUGCAGGAGAGGUAAGUGGAAUUCCUAGUGUAGCGGUGAAAUGCGUAGAUAUUAGGAGGAACACCAGUGGCGAAGGCGGCUUUCUGGACUGAAACUGACGCUGAGGCUCGAAAGCGUGGGGAGCGAACAGGAUUAGAUACCCGAGUAGUC